CAAUUAUCCUCUUUAAAGACCCUAUCUCCAAAUGAAGUCACAUUCUCAGUUACUGAGGGUUAGAAUUUCAACUUAAUAAAUUUUGGGGUGCAGGGAACACAAGCAAGCUUAUAGCAUUGCCCAUAUUGAAUCAUUUUUAUAUCUUCACCAUCAAGCAUAGGAAAGGAUGUAUAUGGACACUCAGUGAAAGAAGGGUGAUGCCAAAAGUAGUGCUUAUUUUUCUAUCAUAUGACCUUUUUAUUCAAGUCAUUUUCUAAUCUCUUUCUCAAUCUGCUGCAGCUUCUUUUCCAUACCCCUUAUAACUCUCUGCACUUCUCAUAGGAUGUCUCAGGAAAAAUGGCCAGUGCCGUCAAUUCCUUUCCUCUCUGUACUCAUGGCCGUCUCCCCUUCUUGAAUCUCGACUGCUUGUACCUAAUUUGACUAAUAGAAUAGUUAAAAAUGACAUUAUGAAACUUCUGAGUCCGACCUUUAGGCAGAGUGGCUGCUUCUGCUUCCUGGCUCUUGAAGUCUUGAACUACUUUCUAAGAAGUUCAGGCUCCUCUGCUGAAAUGAGACUCCACAUAGAGGAGCUGGAAACGGAGGUGCUGGAAACAUCAGUGAAGAAGACAUCUCGUGCAGAUAAUGUCUACCUUGAGAAAAUAAUGCUGAUAGGAACUCUGACCAGAAUUACUAUCUCUCCCUUGAACCCUCUCCCUUGACAUCACAACUACUUCUAGGCCCAUUUGACUUCACUGAAGCCCCUGCUUCAAUUUUACCACCUUGAGGAUGGAUAGAUUAUCAUAAUGAUAGAGAAUUAUUUCGCACUAGCCCAGUGUAUACAGUAGGCAGUGAGGGUAGUCUUGUCUUCUGUCCUUUCCCAAAAUGCUAGCUGGCUCAGUCAUAAGAGAACUCCAAGUCUCUAAACAAGUUAAUAAAAUUAAUGCAUUUUUAGGACAACUUUUGCACUUUUAACAAAAAACCAAUUUCAUAUAAUUUGAAAACUAUUCACUGGAGCAACCAUCCACAGAAUGGUUCUCAACUAUUCCUGAACCUGAAAUGUCUGUUCAGAAGCAAUUGGUACUGUCAACAUUUCUUGUACGAUUUUAAUGAGAAAAAAAAUUAAAAGCAGAUUCUCCAUAUGGCCAGUCAUUAAUCACUGCAAUGAUAGCUGGGAAGUAAAUUAACUGAUACUGUAACCUCUUCCCCUUCAGAAGCUAAGGAAUCAUAAAGGUACCACAGGAAAAUUGGUUACAUCAGAACACAUUUCUGAGGAAGUGAUGAUAAUUAAAAAUGUUAAAAAUCAAAGUUGUAAACAUUUAUUUUAAAAGUAAGACACCCUGAGAACUUCAAGUGUAGAGACAGUGCUGCAAUUCUCAUCUCUUCAUGUCACUUCCUGUGUGCUGCUCAGGCCAGGCCACCACCUGCUCCAGGGCACCCCUCUGCAUCCAUUGAGGACUUAGGAUCCUUAUUGUGUCCUGCUCUUUCCUCAAAUGUUGGAGUAAUCCCAAAGGACCUGCAGGACCAUGUAGACCGUAUGUCCUGCAUCACAUCUUCCAAGCAUCUCCAUGACUGCAGCAUUCGAUACCUCAGCUACACUCUGGACUUUUCUGUUUCCUAGGGUUGUUUCAUCUCGAAAGAAAAAUUGCAUUAGGAUUCUCAGUCCCUCAAUUCCUUCAUUUUACUUCAGUGUUCGUCUCGCAUCCUAACAGAUACAAUUUUUGUUUCUAUCCAGGGCAGAUAACAUGGUGUCACACUCUCAACUCUCUAAGCCUUUGGCCCUUCUGCCAACUUGUUUUGCUAAACGUCACACAGCUUAAAUUGAAACAAACUCUUGGUUUCCUAAUUCCCUGCUUGGUCUGAUGGGAGCUGCUGGACAACUGUUGAAUCACGCAACCGUACAGAUGAGUUUGAUUUCAUAUUUAUAAGCCAAAAUGUCAAAUGAAUUUUCAAAGCAACUCAAUAAGUAAAACAUAUUUAUUAUAGAACUCACAAAAGCAGACAAACAAACAAAAACAGUGUAGAGAAAAAAGGCACCCAUAAUACCAUUACACAGAAAACUGGUGAUCAGCUUUUUGGUGCUUUUCCUCCCAAUCUUAUUUUUAUGCAUAUAACAGGAAUAAUGUGCAUGUUAUCUUAUAAAAUACCCCUUAAUAUUAUAAAAUUCACUUAGGUAAUGUCACAGAAUUGAUUUCCAGCAUCUGAUUUUUCAUGGUUCCAUAUUAUUCCUCUUUUUAGACACUCUAUUAUUUAUCUUCAACUUUCCCUUACUGGUGGUUAUUUAGAUUAUUACUGACCAGCAACUCUAACUUUUUAUUUAGAAUGCGUUUUGAAAGAUAGAAUUUGGGAGCUAAAGAAAAUAACAGUUUAAGGUUCUUGAUGCACUUUGACAAAUCAAUUUUGAAAAUAGUGAGAACAAUAGAUUCCAAUGACAGUGGAAACAAGAACAACUGUUUUUUCCUGUACUUGGCAUGCUGAGUAGCUUAUAUCACCAAAUGUGAGACCGUACAUGAUCAGUGACCAAAGUAGCACUGAUAGCACUUAAAAUUCUUUAAGUGAGUAAAAUUCGGAUAUAUGUGUGUUUUAUCUCUGUGAUUACUAGUAAGAUUAAGCUUUUCACUUUAUAAGUUUCUUAGCAUCAAUUGUUUUUGUGAAUUACUUGUUCACAGUUUUAAAGUAAUCAUUUGAACUAUUCCUAGCCAUCUCAUCUCCAAUUCCACAACUUCCAAGUUGGCUUCCUGCAUUUUAGAUGGUAUUUAGUUUGUCUGGCAAAAAUAUUUCCUCUUCUUUAUCCCCAUACAUUGUCUUCUGUACUGUGCUGGUUUAUUUAUGGGCAACUCAGAUUUUUUUCCCAUUUUUUGCCUGUUACUUUAUAUCACAUGAGCUAGAACCAUGGGGAUUAUAUUUACUUAAAUUCCACUAGCUGGAUUUCAGGUAAGAUUUCAAUACAUCUUUUAUGCAAUAUGGGGUAGGCCAAAAAGAAGCAGAAACCAUCAUUCCUCAUAAGCAGCAGGGCCACACAUAUGGGUUUUGGCAGAAGGCAAAUGCGAGGUUUUUCCACCUUCUGGGUGUUUUCCUGCCAGCCUUCCAAUUUGGUGCUACAGGCAGCUGAGAUUAUCCUGGCAUUUUUCUACAAUACCCAUAUAAUUAAACUCUUGAAUGCUAGCAGUUUCCCUGUAAGGAGUCCAGCUCAACUCCCAAAUUCUAUGUGUGAUCUUUCAGGCUAAACCACAGCAAGGGUGGAGAGGCCUCCCAGGGGGAAGUCGCCCUCCCCACACCAGACUUGUUGCACUGCCAGUCCAUUGUAGUUUUCUGGCGGGAACUGCAGUCAAGGAAUCAGGGACCCCAGGACUAGCCAUGCUCUUUCAUGGAGGCAUUUUUAUUAGGCCCAAGGGGUCUUCAACACUUUCCAGGAACCUCCUCCCAGACCUCAGUAGAGGACUUGCCUACGGCACUUCUCUCCAUUUUGACUCCAUACCUGCCAACUCCUAUUACAUCCCCUAUGACUCCCCAAUAGGUUUUCCUUGCCUGCUGCCCAGAUAAAGCCAAUUUAUCAAGACAGGGGAAUUGUAAUAGAGAAAAUGUUCGAUUCACACAGAGCCCACUGAAUGAGAGACCAGGGUUUUAUUAUUCAAAUAAGUCUCCCUGAAAAUUUGGAGACUGGGGUUUUUAAAGGAUAAUUUGGUGGGGAGGGGACAGGGAGUAGGGAGUGCUCGUUGGUUGAGUCAGAGAUGAAAUCAUAGGAGGUCCAAGUGUGUUCUUCUUGCUGUCUUCUGUUCCUGGGUUGGAUCACAGAACUGGUUGAGCCAGAUUGCCAAUCUGGGUGGCACCAGCUGGUGUAUCAGAAUGCAGGGUCUGAAAAAUAUUUCAAGCAUCAAUCUUAGGUUUCACAAUAGUGAUGUUAUUUCUAGGAGCAAUUGGGGAGGUUCAGAACCUUGUGGUCUGUGGCUUUAUGACCCCUAAGCCAUAAUUUAUAAUCUUAAAAGGCAGCCUGGACCCCAGACAAGAAAGGAAUUUGUUUCAGAAAAGAGCUGUUAUUAUCUUUGUUUCAAAGUUAAACUAUAAAUUCCUCUGAAAGUUAGUUGGCCUAUGCCCAGUAAUGAACAAGGACAGCUUGGGAGGUUAGAAGCAAGAUGGGGUCAGUUAGGUCAGAUCUUUUUCACUGUCAUAAUUUUUGGAGUUCCUCCAUUUGGAGUUCCUCCAUUUGGCUCACAAAUCCAUAAAGAGGCAGAAGCGUUCGUUUGGGGCUCCUCAGCAGUGAUAUCAUGCUUACCAUCUGAGCUGCAUUCACCUAGUUCUUGCCCAGUUGCAUUUCUAGGGGAAAAAUGGAACACUGAGGAGCCAGUGUCUGCUUAUGCUCAACGCUGUGAUCUUUGUUUCCCUGGGCUCUAAUAUGCUGAGUUAAAUCUCUUCCAUAUCGAAUAUCUAGAGAUGUUUCUUUUGUUCUGAUAGAAUCUUUACUGAAUCUGUUACUUUUAAUGGCAAAAACCGCAAUUACUUUUGCACCAACCUAAUAAUAUUUCUUCUUUUUCAUCCACUUUACAGGGAAAAAUGUUGCAUUUCCUCCUCAAGGUUCAUAAUUCAUUCUCUCAGUCAUUAAUUCAUUUAAACAUGUUUAUUACAUAUCUGGUACUAUGUAAUAAUCACUGGCACUGUGUUAGUUCCUAAGAAUACAAGAUGAAGAAGAUCUGGUCUAUGCCUUCAAGGAUUUCUUGUCUUAUUCAGGAGAGAUAAACAGACAUAUCAUUAUAAUUCACCAGUUAACACAGGGAGCUAUUGGGAAGCAGAGGAAGGUUACCCAAUCCAGUCAAUGGGAUGCACAAGGUGAAAAGGCCAGCUGAGGACACAGCGAGAACGAGUGGUCUAGAAGCUGAACAGAGAGGCCUCACCAGAAACCAAACCUACUGUCACCUUGAUCUUUCACUUGACUGUGAGGAAAUAAACUUUUGUUGUUGAAGCCA
This is a long non-coding RNA of Macaca mulatta (Rhesus monkey), 4937 nucleotides long. RefSeq lists it as uncharacterized. The record is from RefSeq and is a predicted model, not a curated record. NCBI's taxonomy places the organism in Eukaryota, Metazoa, Chordata, Mammalia, Primates, Cercopithecidae.